CCUACGGGGGGCAGCAGUGAGGAAUAUUGGUCAAUGGACGAGAGUCUGAACCAGCCAAGUAGCGUGAAGGAUGACUGCCCUAUGGGUUGUAAACUUCUUUUAUAUGGGAAUAAAAUGUUCCACGUGUGGGAUUUUGUAUGUACCAUAUGAAUAAGGAUCGGCUAACUCCGUGCCAGCAGCCGCGGUAAUACGGAGGAUCCGAGCGUUAUCCGGAUUUAUUGGGUUUAAAGGGAGCGUAGGUGGAUUGUUAAGUCAGUUGUGAAAGUUUGCGGCUCAACCGUAAAAUUGCAGUUGAAACUGGCAGUCGUGAGUACAGUAGAGGUGGGCGGAAUUCGUGGUGUAGCGGUGAAAUGCUUAGAUAUCACGAAGAACUCUGAUUGCGAAGGCAGCUCACUGGACUGCAACUGACACUGAGGCUCGAAAGUGUGGGUAUCAAACAGGAUUAGAUACCCCAGUAGUC
This 460-nucleotide ribosomal RNA is filed under the name uncultured bacterium. RNAcentral describes it as "partial 16S ribosomal RNA". It matches the Rfam family "Bacterial small subunit ribosomal RNA", at positions 338 to 795 of the family's 1533-position model. The record is from RNAcentral.